CCGAGACAUACGCAGCGUUUCGGGCCCUUGGAUUCGGGUAUGCUGCCUCCACCUUGAGUGCCACCUUCAUCAAUGGUGUCCUUGGCCCCCAGACCAGACCGUUUCGCUGGAGAUUUUGCUUGAGAGCCACUUGGAUUCACGCAGCAUCAGGAGGAGCUCAAACACGACCACCAAGAGGCACCACCGUAGCAGCAGGUAGCACGUCCAUAUCCACCUCCCUCUCCCUCUGCUCCCAAUCCUUUUUAUUAGAAUAUACUGUCUACAUUCUGAACCCCCUAAUGUGACACAAGUAUAUGCACAUGCUAUGGUUUAAGUGUUGCUUGUGUAUGGUAAAUAGGUUGAGCACCCACCGCUAUUUGAUGCUAUUUUGUUUAGGAUUCUGUUCCUCUAUGCAUGUAAUCUCCAUACCAUGCUCAAGCAUACACACACGGUUGAUUUGCAUGGAACGAUUACUACUAACUAAAGAAGGAAGCAGACUUCUUCACAUAAAGGAAGAUGUCUGUUUUAGUAAUAUAAACAAAUAAAAAAAGAUUGUUUGCAUACAAUUAGAUCAUUCUCACUUAUUA
This is a long non-coding RNA of Triticum dicoccoides, 566 nucleotides long. RefSeq lists it as uncharacterized. The transcript has 3 exons. Lineage: Eukaryota; Viridiplantae; Streptophyta; Magnoliopsida; Poales; Poaceae. The record is from RefSeq and is a predicted model, not a curated record.